Molecule: long non-coding RNA, 2612 nt
Organism: Herpailurus yagouaroundi (jaguarundi)
Lineage: Eukaryota; Metazoa; Chordata; Mammalia; Carnivora; Felidae
Exons: 4
Source: RefSeq, a predicted model, not a curated record
CAUUGCAAAUUUUGAAAAGUACAACAAAAGAAAUUGCCGAAUGGGACAAGAUCUACUCCAGAUAUACCAAUGAAGAAAGAGCUCUCCAAGGAGAAGCUAUUUUAGCUGAGAUAGGAGGAAAAGAGAAGGAUGAAACAUCGUCCAAACAUAAAGCAGAGCAUUCCUUGAAAUAAGAAAGAAUUUAGGGUGGCCAAGAGGUAUGGGUACACUGUUGUUGGCUCCAUGGGAAACAAGGUUAGAUAGAGAAGCAGAGGCUAGCCUUUAGAGGCUCUGAAUUUAAUACGCUUGGAUUUUUUCUAAAUGCAGUGGGAAGACAUUGAAGAUUUUAAGCUAGAUCAACUUACUCCAAUUCUUCCCUCUACUUUAUGGAAGAUGGAGUAAAGGGUAUCAGAGAUAGAGAACUUCAAAACACAACAAAGACUUUUUUUAGGAGACCAGGCAACCAGGGGUGGUGGUCUGGUCCAGGAUGGAGCUAGAAAGGAUUGACCACUUCAUGGCACAUGUUAGAAGGGAGAAUUGACAGAACUUGUUGAUGGCUCGGAAGUGGAAGGAAAGGUGAAAGGAGGAAGCAAAGAGGAGCCCUCUGGAUCUGGCUUGAGCAUUUGAGUGGAACUUGGUGUCUCUUGCUAACAGAAGCCAGACUACUUUCAUGGUUCAUAUCUGCAUGAAGAAGAGAACAGUUAUUCUUACUUGUUAGUGUUUCAAGUGAUGUUAGCAACACAGCUUUGGUACGUUUGCCUUUUAUCUUAUGCGUUAUCUAUUUUUUAUUGCAUCCUAAGUGUAGAUUUCUGCAGUUACGUAAUGUAUUGUAUGGAUAAUGUUGAUACCGGUUAUUUUUAAAAACAAGGAAAAUACUUCUCUUAAAAGCAGUUUCUUGUGUAUAACCCUGGAGGUGACAAUAACCCUUAUCAUGGAAAAACAAGCACAAGAGUUGAUGUAAAGCUUUCUUUCAAGUACCCAUUGUGUGGUCCAUAAUUCACCCUGAAAAGCUGAUAGUAUGAUAGCAAGAGCCCUCUCAAAUAUAUUCAUAACAAUAUACAACUGCAGAUUUCUGUUUUAUACAGGUCAGUGGAGAACCAUCACUGCUGAAUCAAUGUGUCUAACUUCUUGAAUGUCUAAAUUUAAAAAGAAUACAUUCCUGCUAAGAUUCCUAUCAACCCUUGCUGAUUAUGUUUCAUAAAAGCAAAUUCUCGUACAGUGGGCUCUUAAAAGGACCAAUUUUCUGCUUCUCUUGACUAUAUGAGACAUUCAGGAAUUAAUGAAAAAAAAAAAAAAAAAGCAAUGCCUGUCUGGCCUGUAAGCACUGCAACCUUAUCUCUGCAUAAAUUCUCACAGGUCAACUCAAAAAACAGUUCAGGGUCAAAAUCUCAUCUGGUCACCUAGAUUAAAAACUAAUUUCUCUAAAGUAUAUCCUAUAUUGAAGCUUUUUCAUGCAAAUAAAUAGCAAGGGCCUUGUCCUCUCUUCCUUUAUUAGUUGGGCAUGUCAUGAAUUUGAACAGAACAUUUUGUUCUGUGCUCUAAUUACAUGCGUUAUUAGGAAAAAUCUAUUCCUUGCAUACGUAUCAUCAGAAGCAGCUCUAAGAGUGUGGUUUCCAUCACAGGGCUCGUCACGGUGGUUCAUCGUAAUACUGACAGUUUAAUCUUUUGUUUCAUACGAGAUUAAAAGCCGCUUGAUACCCAUCUCUUCACAGCUUGGACCGUGAAUCCAGUUGGACUCCAUCCAUAUCUAAGUACCGUCUCUUUCGUGAAGUGGACUCCAUUUUCCCACAUACGCUAGGCAGCAAGGGCCCUUGGGCAAUGAUGAGCACUGAAAUACUGUCGUAUUUAGCCAUCGGAUUUAAGGCAUAAAGCAAAUGAGUUGCGAUGGAAUCAUUAUCAGAUGGGUAGCAGAAAGGAAAUUCCUAGGACAUGUCACAUUUCACAGGAGAGAGAGAUUCCAUUUCCACUGCAAUUCAGAAUGGAAGCAAGUCUGGCCUCAUUCUUUAUCUGGGAACCUCCGUAACCGUCCCUUCCAACAACGCUGAGGUUUGAUGGCAAGGAGACUGUUAGCAACAGAAAAAGGCACAAUAUGGAUCCUCUGGAACUGUAACAGAAUGUAUGGGUGAGCAGCCUGGACAGGACCAUUUUCAAACAUCCAGCAUCCAAGGGGCGAGAAGAGCUAAGCAGGAAGAGCACAUUUGAGCCAUUGUGCAGAGUCUCCCCCACCCCACCGUUAUUGCUCGUGUCUGCUUAAUAACGGGAUGUCACCUGGACUGUUCACCUUUAACCUGGAAGCCCAGACAUGCUUCCUCUAUUUCAUUAUCCAGUGACCUCUCCCAUCAGCAGCCUGUGGCUGUGAAUUCUUUAUCCCUGUGAACGUGGCUGCCAUGUGUGAUUCUGACGGAAGACGGCAAGAAGCCCUGGGCUGGGGCAGCAGGUGCAAGCUUCCAGGGAGCACGGUAGGUUUACAUUUAAUAUUGUUGGGAAAGGUUUUAUUUCAUUUUUGCCCCGGAGGAGUUUGCAAAGAGUGAACAUUUGGAUUUGUCUGUGAGGGAGGAAACUCACGAUGACUUUCCACCUUUGCCUCGUCCGGAAUUGCAGAACAGACUUAAGGGGGAAUCAAGCCUGAGACA